AGCGAACGCUGGCGGCAGGCCUAACACAUGCAAGUCGAACGAACCUUUCGGGGUUAGUGGCGGACAGGUGAGUAACACGUGGGAACGUGCCUUUAGGUUCGGAAUAACUCAGGGAAACUUGUGCUAAUACCGAAUGUGCCCUUCGGGGGAAAGAUUUAUCGCCUUUAGAGCGGCCCGCGUCUGAUUAGCUAGUUGGUUGAGGUAAUGGCUCACCAAGGCGACGAUCAGUAGCUGGUCUGAGAGGAUGAUCAGCCACAUUGGGACUGAGACACGGCCCAAACUCCUACGGGAGGCAGCAGUGGGGAAUCUUGCGCAAUGGGCGAAAGCCUGACGCAGCCAUGCCGCGUGAAUGAUGAAGGUCUUAGGAUUGUAAAAUUCUUUCACCGGGGACGAUAAUGACGGUACCCGGAGAAGAAGCCCCGGCUAACUUCGUG
Molecule: ribosomal RNA, 434 nt
Filed under: uncultured bacterium
Lineage: Bacteria
Description: partial 16S ribosomal RNA
Rfam family: Bacterial small subunit ribosomal RNA
Source: RNAcentral